RNAcentral lists this transfer RNA (72 nucleotides) under Camelus bactrianus (Bactrian camel). It matches the Rfam family "tRNA". Rfam says of the family: Transfer RNA (tRNA) molecules are approximately 80 nucleotides in length. RNAcentral also lists the same sequence under 1 other name. Lineage: Eukaryota; Metazoa; Chordata; Mammalia; Artiodactyla; Camelidae. The record is from Rfam by way of RNAcentral.
GAGGGUGCAGCUCAGUGGUAGAGCACAUGCUUACCAUGCACGAGGCCCUGGGUUCAAUCUUCAGCACCGCCA